UACGGGGGGGGCAAGCGUUGUUCGGAAUUACUGGGCGUAAAGGGCUCGUAGGCGGCCAACUAAGUCGGACGUGAAAUCCCCAGGCUCAACCUGGGAACUGCGUCCGAUACUGGAUGGCUUGAGUUUGGGAGAGGGAUGCGGAAUUCCAGGUGUAGCGGUGAAAUGCGUAGAUAUCUGGAGGAACACCGGUGGCGAAGGCGGCAUCCUGGACCAACACUGACACUGAGGAGCGAAAGCCAGGGGAGCAAACGGG
RNAcentral lists this ribosomal RNA (253 nucleotides) under uncultured bacterium. RNAcentral's name for it is "partial 16S ribosomal RNA". It matches the Rfam family "Bacterial small subunit ribosomal RNA", at positions 524 to 776 of the family's 1533-position model. The record is from RNAcentral.